Macaca mulatta (Rhesus monkey) is the source of this 148-nucleotide unclassified non-coding RNA. It matches the Rfam family "Metazoan signal recognition particle RNA". Rfam says of the family: The signal recognition particle (SRP) is a universally conserved ribonucleoprotein. It is involved in the co-translational targeting of proteins to membranes. The record is from Ensembl. Lineage: Eukaryota; Metazoa; Chordata; Mammalia; Primates; Cercopithecidae.
GCCAGGUGUGGUGGCGCGCGCCUGUAGUCCCAGCUACUCGGGAGGCUGAGGCAGGAGGAUCGCUUGAACUCAGGAGGCGGAGACUACAGUGAGCUGAGACUGUGCCAUUGUACUCCAGCCUGGGUGACAGAGCGAGACUCCGUCUCAA